UCCGGUGUCGAUGCGCCUAGGGGAAACACCCGUACCCAUCCCGAACACGCAGGUUAAGACCUGGGCGGCCGAUGAUACUAUGCUGGAGACGGCAUGGGAAAGCAGGUGGAUGCCGGAU
Molecule: ribosomal RNA, 118 nt
Filed under: Clostridiaceae bacterium
Lineage: Bacteria; Bacillati; Bacillota; Clostridia; Eubacteriales; Clostridiaceae
Source: RNAcentral